RNAcentral lists this ribosomal RNA (804 nucleotides) under uncultured organism. Its description in RNAcentral is "SSU rRNA". It matches the Rfam family "Bacterial small subunit ribosomal RNA", at positions 52 to 847 of the family's 1533-position model. The record is from RNAcentral.
CACAUGCAAGUCGAGGGGCAGCAUUCCUGUUUGCUUGCAAACUGGAGAUGGCGACCGGCGCACGGGUGAGUAACACGUAUCCAACCUGCCGAUAACUCGGGGAUAGCCUUUCGAAAGAAAGAUUAAUACCCGAUGGUAUAAUCAGACCGCAUGGUCUUGUUAUUAAAGAAUUUCGGUUAUCGAUGGGGAUGCGUUCCAUUAGGCAGUUGGUGAGGUAACGGCUCACCAAACCUUCGAUGGAUAGGGGUUCUGAGAGGAAGGUCCCCCACAUUGGAACUGAGACACGGUCCAAACUCCUACGGGAGGCAGCAGUGAGGAAUAUUGGUCAAUGGGCGCAGGCCUGAACCAGCCAAGUAGCGUGAAGGAUGACUGCCCUAUGGGUUGUAAACUUCUUUUAUAUGGGAAUAAAGUUUUCCACGUGUGGAAUUUUGUAUGUACCAUAUGAAUAAGGAUCGGCUAACUCCGUGCCAGCAGCCGCGGUAAUACGGAGGAUCCGAGCGUUAUCCGGAUUUAUUGGGUUUAAAGGGAGCGUAGGUGGACAGUUAAGUCAGUUGUGAAAGUUUGCGGCUCAACCGUAAAAUUGCAGUUGAUACUGGCUGUCUUGAGUACAGUAGAGGUGGGCGGAAUUCGUGGUGUAGCGGUGAAAUGCUUAGAUAUCACGAAGAACUCCGAUUGCGAAGGCAGCUCACUGGACUGCAACUGACACUGAUGCUCGAAAGUGUGGGUAUCAAACAGGAUUAGAUACCCUGGUAGUCCACACAGUAAACGAUGAAUACUCGCUGUUUGCGAUAUACAGUAAGCGGC